UAAUAGAUAGCCGUGUCAUCGGCAAAGA
This 28-nucleotide small RNA is filed under the name Bombyx mori (domestic silkworm). Its description in RNAcentral is "ovarian small RNA-19573". The record is from RNAcentral. Lineage: Eukaryota; Metazoa; Arthropoda; Insecta; Lepidoptera; Bombycidae.